CAAAGUCUGUGUGUAUCAUCAUGCCAUCCGGCAUAGAUUAGAUCCGUUUAUUGAAUCCAACAGUUUGGUUAUGUUGGGCAGCCGGGGAGCAGGCUAGUCAAAUAUUUCAAUCUAGCAAUAGCAUAGCCCUGCCUGGUCUUCAACUGAGAAACACUGGCUUCGAGGCUACUGGAAGGAAGAUGAAUAUAAAGUAGAAGAAGAACCCCUUCUUCUUCACAAUCCCUUUUCACUUUCCAAUGAAGAAGAAGAAGAAACGACAACACCACCUUCAACCUCAUCAUCCAAACGCACCAGCUCAACGCCUCCUUUGUCUCGACGUUUUUCUUGGCCUUGCCAUCGCCAUAAUCAAGAUCAAUUUCUUCACAAGUUUUUGUUUCCCUUACAGCCCAUGUUUUUAGUUGAUUAUGGUGGAGGAGCUUUUCCUUGCAUCAAUCACUCUCCUUGGUUUGACGUGACGCUUGCUGAUUUUGUGAUGCCCUUUUUUCCUCUUUGUUGUUGGUGUCUUUAUCAGUUUAGUUUUUAAGGUAACAAAUUCCUCUUCAUUAUCAGGUUCAACAGGUGCUUCUUUCCUUCCUUUCACGUAGCUCUUCUGCACAAUUUAAUUUAAUAACAUUUUCUUGAGGUAAAUUAUUAUUUCAGAGUCAUAAUUAAACGACAAUAAGUUCAAGCCUCUUUAACACAAGGCAGUUGAGGAGAUACAAAAUCCUAAUAGGGCUCAGGCAAAAUUUAGACCGAAGGUUCAAAACUCAUUUAACAAACUUUUCUGUCUGUGUCAGACUACCAUCUUUCUCCAUUUUGAAGUCUAGGAAGAAACUGGACUAGAGAAACAUUUUCUGUGGUGAUUUCUUGUACUAUAAUCAUGAUGUUGGAUUCAAGAAUAACAUGAUGUUAUAAGAAUUUUACUUCUUCCAUUUUGGCAUCUGGAAGGACUUUGUACUUUGAAGCUUGCUCCCAUCACCAGGUCCAGUUAUUUUAGCUCGAGGAUUGAAAAGAUGUCUGAUAAAAAAGAUGACCAACCAUAUUAAGAUGGAGCUUGGCCUGCAUCUGAUCAUAUACACCUACCACAGGAAGCACAGGCCUAGGAAAGGGAAUGCGAAACUGGCAUGAGUAGCCCAGUACGCAAAGGUCUUCACUAAGAGUUUGCUGUGCUCUCCAAUUUUGCUUCUCUCGCAAAAGUCAAAAGGAAAUACAAGUGACUCCCAUUGUGUCAAAGUACAUCCCCAUUGGAUCAAAAUUCAAGGGCAGAAAAAAAAAAAAGAGGAUGGUCGCUUUCUGGCUGUAUGGCCUUUAUGAUCCAGACUGGGAAUUUGAAGUUCCAAGCACACAUCUGUUUGGUUACAAAUCUGGUACUAAAAUUUUUUUAUCGUCUCUGGGAUUGGACUUUCUUUGGUUCAGCUUUGUUAGUGGGCCAUUCUUCACCGGAAGCAUGUUUUCUGUUGAUUUAUCAGCCAUUUUCUGCUCAAACAAGGUGAAUUGUGGAGUGAAGGAAGUCUUGAAAGUUCCUUGUAAUGCAGUUGGCCUGAUUGAUCGAUUUUUUCUUUGUGAGCAUCAUCUAUAUCCGCACCCUGUGUAUAGAUGAACAAUGGAGAUGUUCUGAGGUACUCUCUAACACAUAACAAUUACAUUGUUUUCAUAGCAAUGUAGUGUUAAUUUUCCUGACUAUAAACCUCUAGUACCAGAUUCACCUAGUUGGUUCCUUUGCUCCAUUUGACUCCAAGGGCAUCUUGAGGUCAGAUAAACUGCAAUGCUUUCUCUUGCACCAUUUCUUAUGAAUCACCAGAUUAUUUUCUCCAUUAUAAUAACAUACAUUAAAGCCAAGUGCCCAUUUCAGAUGCUUUCACUGUACAAAUGUAUAGUGAUACAGCUCUUAGCAUGUCAGCAAAUAGUCAGCUCCUUUAUUUAUUAUUAUUUUUUUCCAGUUUUGAAAAACUUCACAUGGGUUCCUUGGUUUUUGCCAAUUAUCAUUUAGGUUUCCCAAAUUUAAUAAUUUAUCAAUGAGGUCCCUUAAGUAUCACAUAUAUUUCAAUGGAGUCUGGUCAUCAACUUUGGUUAAUAUUUUAUAUCAUUGUAUGCGCUCAAACAAAACUGGAUUGAUGAGAAUUUGAGAUUUUUAGAUGAAAGACCUAAUUGAAAAAUGUGGUGACACUCAAAAAAUGAAACUGAUAAAUAGAUAGAUUUAGAUGAAUUUAAGAAUCAGUUACUAUGUUACGAAAGAAAAUUAAAUGCUCUGAUGUUUAUCAACCACAUGGAGGACAAAUAGAUUAUACUAAUAUAUUAAAAUAUAGAAAUAUCCAUAGCAACUUGAGGGUGUCAUUCUAAUUGAUUGCAAAAAAUGAAGGAAAAUUUUCUGCUGAAAUAGCAUUUCAUUUACAUAAUCUUUGGACACCAAAAAAAGAAGAAGAAGCUUUUGUGUCAGUGACAAACUUUAGUGUUGAUUUCUUUUCUUAACAAUCUUUUCAGUUUCUUGAUGGCUUCUAUAACAUGUUCUCUUUGAUUGCAGUUCGGUCGUAUACUUGUUCAUUUUAAGGGCCACAUGCAGAGGCUGUAUUUGUGGUCGGCAUGUUCUUUCACUGUACAUUACUGGAUAUGUGUGAAAACUUCUUGGUGUUCCUUUUUAUUAACCAUUAUAUAUUUUGAGCUAUGUGUGCAUUAGAGCGGAAGCAUCAGGCUUGGCUUUAAUGAUUAUCUUUUACAUAUGGAGGGAUUUUGAAAAGAACAAGAGACUGAAGGAGAUUGGCAUGAAAGAAUCAUUUCAAUUCAACCAUAUUUUAUGCAGGUUGAUGUCUAACAUUUUAGAAAGCCCACAAUGGUACUUCAGUGGAUGGGAAUGAAUGCACUCAUCAUUUAUGCAUUGGCUGCAUGUGACCUUUUCACAGCAGCCAUUCAAGGUUUCUAUUGGGGUUCACCAGAAAACAACUUGGUUGAUGGCCCAUAAUCGCUGUUGCAAGCCAUGUUCCAUUCAAAGAAGUGGAGCACCUUAGUUUUGUACCAGUGGAGAUUUUAUUUUGAAAGGCAUGUGAGACUGCAUGGUAUUGUAGAUGCUGCUUGUUCCCUGUGAAAGACUAAAUUAUACAUUGUUAUUCCUGCAACAGUGUCUUGUUUUGUUCAGUGAUAUGCCUAGUGAUCUUUCGCUCAUCCCCCCAAAACCUGUGUAGAGGUGGGAUUUGAUCCGAACCUCCGGAAGACAACCUUGAGCCGCCUUUGUGUUAUAUUGGAUUAGCUAUCGUCCUUCUUUUUCAAUGUAUCAAUCUUUCCUUCAUUUUUGUAAUCAUUUCUACCCUUCUUUA
Populus euphratica (Euphrates poplar) is the source of this 3287-nucleotide long non-coding RNA. RefSeq lists it as uncharacterized. NCBI's taxonomy places the organism in Eukaryota, Viridiplantae, Streptophyta, Magnoliopsida, Malpighiales, Salicaceae. The record is from RefSeq and is a predicted model, not a curated record. The transcript has 9 exons.